UGGGGAAUAUUGCACAAUGGGCGCAAGCCUGAUGCAGCCAUGCCGCGUGUAUGAAGAAGGCCUUCGGGUUGUAAAGUACUUUCAGCGGGGAGGAAGGCGAUAAGGUUAAUAACCUUGUCGAUUGACGUUACCCGCAGAAGAAGCACCGGCUAACUCCGUGCCAGCAGCCGCGGUAAUACGGAGGGUGCAAGCGUUAAUAGGAAUUACUGGGCGUAAAGCGCACGCAGGCGGUCUGUCAAGUCGGAUGUGAAAUCCCCGGGCUCAACCUGGGAACUGCAUUCGAAACUGGCAGGCUAGAGUCUUGUAGAGGGGGGUAGAAUUCCAGGUGUAGCGGUGAAAUGCGUAGAGAUCUGGAGGAAUACCGGUGGCGAAGGCGGCCCCCUGGACAAAGACUGACGCUCAGGUGCGAAAGCGUGGGGAGCAAACA
This 427-nucleotide ribosomal RNA is filed under the name uncultured bacterium. RNAcentral's name for it is "partial 16S ribosomal RNA". It matches the Rfam family "Bacterial small subunit ribosomal RNA", at positions 355 to 774 of the family's 1533-position model. The record is from RNAcentral.